RNAcentral lists this ribosomal RNA (494 nucleotides) under uncultured bacterium. RNAcentral describes it as "partial 16S ribosomal RNA". It matches the Rfam family "Bacterial small subunit ribosomal RNA", at positions 28 to 507 of the family's 1533-position model. The record is from RNAcentral.
GACGAACGCUGGCGGCGUGCUUAACACAUGCAAGUCGAACGGAAAGGCCUGCUUUCCCUUGUGGAUUGCGGGUACUCGAGUGGCGAACGGGUGAGUAACACGUGAGUGAUCUGCCCCCAACUUGGGUAUAAGCCUGGGAGACUGGGUCUAAUUCCCGAUAGGACUGCAGGGUGGUGCCUGUGGUGGAAAACGAUUUUCUAGUGGUUGGGGAUGAGCUCGCGGCCUAUCAGCUUGUUGGUGGGGUAAUGGCCUACCAAGGCGGCGACGGGUAGCCGGCCUGAGGGGGUGGACGGCCACAUUGGGACUGAGAUACGGCCCAGACUCCUACGGGAGGCAGCAGUGGGGAAUAUUGCACAAUGGGCGGAAGCCUGAUGCAGCGACGCCGCGUGGGGGAUGACGGCCUUCGGGUGGUAAACUCCUUUCGACCGCGAGGAAGCCACAUGGUUGGAAGGGUGGCGACGGUAGUGGUAGAAGAAGCACCGGCUAACUACGUG